AUAUAUCACUACUACUACAAAAUUAAUUUUGUAAAUAAUCUGAUAAAUUUUUUUACGUGGUUUAGAAAAUUUCCUGAUAAACUUUUAAAUUAUUUUUAGUGUAAAAGGAGACAUCACUUAAAAAAUUAAAAAUUUCGAUAACAAGCUAACUUUAAAAAUUCAUCGACGAUUGUUCGGUAAUCGAAUCCAUAAAUGAUUUAUAUUCUCUCAAAGCUCAUUUCGAAAAUUAUAUCAUAGACACAUCGAAUGAUUUAAAUGAAUAUCGAAAAUAGUUAAACGUAUAUCAAACGUGUGUGUUUAAAAAUGCGUAUAACUUGUUUUUUCUUAAAAAAUCAGUUAUUUUCUUAAUGUUUAUUAUUUUCGCGAGAUAAUUUUCUCAAUA
Molecule: long non-coding RNA, 382 nt
Filed under: Olea europaea subsp. europaea
Lineage: Eukaryota; Viridiplantae; Streptophyta; Magnoliopsida; Lamiales; Oleaceae
Source: RNAcentral